GUGGUCACUUCGCAGCACAUGUACUAAAAUUGGAUCGAUACAGAGAAGAUUCGCAUGGAUAACUUGUGAAUUUGGGAAGCCUUCCAUAUUUUU
This 93-nucleotide small nuclear RNA is filed under the name Nannospalax galili (Upper Galilee mountains blind mole rat). Lineage: Eukaryota; Metazoa; Chordata; Mammalia; Rodentia; Spalacidae. The record is from RNAcentral.